GUGCUCGCUUUGGCAGCACAUAUACUAAAACUGGAGCGAUACAGAGAAGAUUAGCAUGACAGGCAAAUUUGUGAAAGAUGACAGGCAAAUUUGUGAAGCGUUCCAUAUUUUU
Small nuclear RNA from Sapajus apella (tufted capuchin), 112 nucleotides. The record is from RefSeq and is a predicted model, not a curated record. NCBI's taxonomy places the organism in Eukaryota, Metazoa, Chordata, Mammalia, Primates, Cebidae.